This is an RNA transcript of Candoia aspera, 1165 nucleotides long. It is a transcript of the gene named MYST/Esa1 associated factor 6, with no coding region annotated. Lineage: Eukaryota; Metazoa; Chordata; Lepidosauria; Squamata; Candoiidae. The transcript is spliced from 9 exons. The record is from RefSeq and is a predicted model, not a curated record.
CGGGCGGGCGGCCGAGCGAGCGGGCGGGCGGGCCAUGGCGGCGUUGCACGGGGCGGGCGCCAAGGCCGGCGCCCCGCCGCAAAUCCCCGACACCCGCCGCGAGCUGGCCGAGCUGGUCAAGCGCAAGCAGGAGCUGGCGGAGACGCUGGCCAACCUGGAGCGGCAGAUCUACGCCUUCGAGGGCAGCUACCUGGAGGACACGCAGAUGUACGGGAACAUCAUCCGCGGCUGGGACCGCUACCUGACCAACCAGAAAAACUCCAACAGCAAGAACGACCGUCGGAACCGGAAGUUUAAGGAGGCGGAGAGGCUCUUCAGCAAGUCCUCAGUCACCUCGGCGGCCGCGGUCAGCGCGUUGGCCGGAGUCCAGGACCAGCUCAUCGAAAAGCGUGAGCCCGGCAGUGGCACCGAGAGUGAUACUUCCCCGGAUUUUCACAACCAAGAAAAUGAGCCAAGCCAGGAGGAGGUGGAAGAGCUGGAUGGCUCUGUUCAAGGGGUGAAACCUCAAAAAGCAGCCUCUUCUGCCUCUGGAAGCCACCACAGUAGUCACAAGAAACGGAAGAACAAAAACAGGCACAGCCCGUCUGGCAUGUUUGAUUAUGACUUUGAGUAUGUAUAUUAGGUUAGGCUGGCAAGUUUUUAAAAAUACAGACAAAAGCACAAUGGAGGAUUGAUCUCAAGUUGAACAAAAAACCGCGAGCUGACUACUAGUGCUCCUCCAGGCUGAAUCUUCUAGGAACUUUCCUCCUUCCCUCCCUGAGACUGAAUAAGCACAAGGCCAGCUCUUUCCUGGCGGCGCCACUGGCCGAACCAGACCUUCCUGCUGUUGCCAGUUCGUCAUGCAUAAAACCCGCAAAGAGAAGCCCUCUCUACUUGCUGCCGUCUUCUGGUGGAUUCCUUUUGUCUUACGUAUUUGGCUCUUUUUAAAAAAAUAAACGUUAUUUAAUUUUCCAUUUGUUAAAAGGUUAAGACAAAUUAUCUCCUAGAUCUUUUUUCUUCUUCGGAACCCAAAGACCCUCCAGUAGACCCUUCAAACUGGGAAGGGUGAUUUCAUUGUACUCUGAAACUUCUACUAACACCUUGAGGGAAAUGGGUGUUUGGGGGAAGCAGCCUCUUUUUUAAUAUUUAUGUCUACUUAUUGUAAAUAAAACAUCUCCUCCACCAA